Molecule: transfer RNA, 63 nt
Filed under: Zenillia sp. 2 HNL-2023a
Lineage: Eukaryota; Metazoa; Arthropoda; Insecta; Diptera; Tachinidae
Description: tRNA-Arg
Source: RNAcentral
GAAUAUGAAGCGAUUUAUUGCAUUUAGUUUCGACCUAAUAUUAGGUAUAAUUACCCUUAUUCU